Molecule: ribosomal RNA, 253 nt
Filed under: uncultured bacterium
Lineage: Bacteria
Description: partial 16S ribosomal RNA
Rfam family: Bacterial small subunit ribosomal RNA
Source: RNAcentral
GACAGAGGUGCCAAGCGUUAGGCGGAAUCACUGGGCUUAAAGCGUGUGUAGGCGGAAUGGUAAGUACCUUGUGAAAUCCCACGGCUCAACCGUGGAACUGCUUGGUAUACUGCUUUUCUUGAGCCACUUAGAGGCAACCGGAACAAACGGUGGAGCGGUGAAAUGCGUAGAUAUGCGGAGGAACACCGAUGGCGAAGGCAAUCCCCUGGGCCUGCACUGACGCUCAUGCACGAAAGCGUGGGGAGCAAACAGG